Molecule: long non-coding RNA, 6260 nt
Filed under: Triticum aestivum (bread wheat)
Lineage: Eukaryota; Viridiplantae; Streptophyta; Magnoliopsida; Poales; Poaceae
Description: long non-coding RNA (TAES_LNC022791)
Source: RNAcentral
GCUUGUACUAGAUCUAACAUGCCAAGAAUCAAAUCCUAAGUAAUAGCAACUUGCUAAGACAUGUAUGUGUGUAUCCAAAAGAUCAACCUUCCUAUGUAUACUACCUUGUCCUAAUUAUUAAUCCCUGCCAAUCUGUAGCAAACAUUGAGUGAUUGAUGUUUAUAAUCUACUCACAAGUAAUUAUUUUUGGAGUUUCACUGCCAUUGUUUACUUCUAUAUGGUGUUCAAGGAUGAGUAGCACUAGUUAGGAACAACAUUUAGAUCUAAUCAGUAGCAAUACCAUGACCACACCAUAGAUUAAAUCUUGAUUAAUUUCAUGGCCUUGAGAUAAACAAAGAGAAAGAAGGCAAUAUGGUUCAGAGGGGAAUAGUAGGGCCUGAGAUAAAACAAACAAUAUAUGCACACCCACGUUCAUAUAUAGUAGGAACUUGUUGUGAAAUUUGGAGGACUUCAUGGAGAAGGAAUCAGGAUUAGUACUUACCAGUAGUAGCAGUAGGAUGUGGCUAGUCCACACCGUUAGCAGCAAAGCCAUGGCAACCGAGCAGCGCCGGUGAAGCCGCAUGUGCCCGACGCCCGUGGCUGCACGCCUUGUGCGUGUGGCUGCACUAGGGGGAGGAUGUAGGCAUGGAGACAUCGUUGCCGCUGCAGCCGGUGGCAAGCCCACCAGACCUGGAUCGGGCGGCGCUAGGAUUGAGUGGUGGCGGCGUUUUUGGCGGUGGCCGAUCAAAUAAAUAGGGGGAAAUGGUAGAGGGAGACGAGGGGAAUCUAUAGGUGUCCGCCAUGUCGCCGGAGAUGCCCGUACGGGGCAGAUCGAGGCGACGGCGGCCGUGCUCUGUUCUUGGGGGAGAGAGAGGUGAGCGGGCUGGUUCUGUUCGUGGGACAUCAGAGAAGUUGAGUAGUCUUUCUGGAUAGACACGGCUUGGGCUUAACCAGCGAAGUACUAGUAGUACAGUACUAGGCUACUGUUUCCUUUUACUUAUCAUUUCUUUUACCACUCUCUGGACUGGAUGACAUACGUGCAUGCUACUCUGAUUUGGAUGGCUUAGAUGCAUUUUAUAUCUCAAUGAAACACUAGGACGUAUUAGUACCUAGUUAAUUAAUUAUGGCUUCCCCAACAUGGCCGUGUUGCUGGAUGUUUAGAUUUUAAUUAGGCAUUAUAAACAUGUUUGUGAAAUAAUUAUCAGGAGUCGAUCUCGGACUCGUAGGAGUCGCAUCUGGUGAUUUCGAGUUGGUCGAAGCACUAUCCGGCAAGUCAUCAUCUCCUUGACCAUGUCUUGAUAAAUGUUUUCUGGGCUAUGGGUCAUUUCUAAAAGUUUGCAUAAGAAUUAAAAAUAAAUAUUUUUCAUAAAUGAAAUGAGAUUUGGAUCAGGUGGAUCCACUAAUUUGGCAAUUGGACCAGAUCAGGUGAAGUAUCUGUAUUAAGUAGUUGUGACCCGGGCAGGGCUACAUUAUAAAUAAAUAUUUGGUGGGUAGGGGAGCUUAUGUUGGUGAAGGCAACCUGGGUAGGGUUGGCUUGGAUGGCGGGCUCCUCUACAUAGGGUAUCACAUUAGGACACAACCAACUGAUGCUUACUUCAAAAGCGGCGCAAAUCGUACUGACCAUAGACCUGGAAUGGGACGGGCUGAACCGACUACCCAUGCCAAGUAGCUGCCUCUGCAUGGGUGAGAAGGUGGCUGUAGCCGGGUAGGUACAGUCACCCUAGGGCGGGACCGCCGGUCAAGGGUCUCGACCUGCGGGCCUUUAGUAAGGCAAGGUGGAAAUGCAGAGGUAGUGUACGGGCUGGUUAAAGGUUCUGGUUCCUUGGUCUAGUCGUGCGCACGGGUAGCGCAUGGACGACUUGUACCAAGUGAUGCUAUGGGCAAAGCAGUACACCUCUGAUCAGAGUAAAUGUGAUAUCACUCCCAGCUUCCGGGAUUGGAAGUGCGUCGUGUGGGUUUUCCUCUAACACAUGAUGCAAGAUCCCACGUCACUCUGUCACCAGUAGAUUUUAUGAAUAAAAUUUGGUUUUCAACAAAAUGGGUUAAGGGAAAAUAUUUUUACCUACAUAGUAUUUUGAGAUAAUGGCUCGGUGGUGGUAGCCGUGGCCGAUGAAGUUUUUCCUCUUUAAAAACUCAUACAUUCACUUUUCCCGGCGACUUGCGGAGUACAUAUUUUAUAUGUACUCAGCUGCACUUAUGUUGUUUUUCAGAGCAAGAGAGUUAUGAGAACUCUGAGGCGAUAGAGAAUGGUACUUAUGAUGAGUCUAGUCAUUUUAAUGACUUUGGUUAUACUAAGGUGGAGUAUGAUUAUGAGGAAGUCGACAAUCAAGGCUAUGAAGAGUAGAUGCCCUCCAUGGUUGGUCGAAAAGGCUCGUACUAUAAGUGGUGACGAUAUAUCAUCAUGGCCGCUUAGGCUUAGUCCACACUUGAGGUGUCUAUGUAAUAAAAGCUUGCCUACUCAUGGCAGCUGUUCCACUUGUACAUGACACUGUUCUCCUUAACUGAUCCUGGCGCAACUCUGAAGUGACGGCUUCCGUUACGCCUGACUCUGUUGGAUGUAAUGGGGCAUCACAAAAGAGGUGGUAUCAGAGCAACGUUAAGGAAACAAUCAUGUAUUUGGUUAGAGACAGUCUGAGCCCUAGGAAAGAUAGGUUCCCUCCUUGCCUAAAAUAAAUUAAAAGUUUUCUCAAAAAAAUGACUCAAGUCAAUUGAAGAUUAAAUAAUUUAGACCACACAAUUGUGCAACAAAAAUGUGUUUAUUUAUUUAUUUACUAUCCUUGGUAAAAUUAAUUUUACACUGCGUUAUAACUAACUACAUUCUUAAAUUGCUCAAUGUAGGAUGACGAGUGGUAGGAUGUUUGGUACGGGUGCUGAGUAUGGUGGUUUUGCUCUGUUCUUGGUUGAGCUUCUUGGUCUUCUAGGUGUGUUGAUUGCACCGUACUACACAGUGUUUCACGACCCGUGUUCCACGGGGUACUUAGUCACAGUGCACAUUCCUGAGAGCUUAGAUGUCCCUUCUAGGUACAGUGUUGCCCGUUACAACUUUGUUUCAGCACUUCAGGGUGCGGCACGAGAUGCCGCUUUACACCUUUUCCACGCCUACCACUCUCUCCUUCAGUACGUGGGCAGAGGCGAGUGGCCUCAUUAGCUAGAGGAGGCAGGGAGUUCUUAUGCACCUACGCCCAUUGUCGCUCCUUCACCUUUUGCGUCCACUUCCACUUUCCCUCCACUUUCACCAUGUCCUCCUAUUUUACCUCCCACAUUUUUACCACCACCAGCUUCGACUGCCGCUCGUCCACCUCUGUACCCGACAGUCCCACCCAAUCGUGCAGACCACCCAGCUCGUAGAGUCAUCAGGGGUUCCUCCUCUCACGCAAUGUCACGUCCCUCCACACCGUACGAGCGUCCACCUGCACCUCAGCUUGUUCAGGACCUAUUAGAUCAGGUUGCCACUCUUCAGAGGCGCUGUUCCGAGCUUGAGCGGGCGAACAUCGAGAUGUCCACUGCGUUGAGGGACUACACCCGUCCGGGUAUGGCCCUCAACCCUCUUCAGAUCAACAGCUCACCUUCCGCCUCUCCAGGUCGGGUAGGGUACCCGAUUGACCAGGAGUCUCUUGUCGCCGACGAGCCUUCCUCUCAGGUUGCUCCUUGUCGGUGUCAAAACCGGCGGAUCUCAGGUAGGGGGUCCCGAACUGUGCGUCUAGGCCGGAUGGUAACAGGAGGCAAGGGACAUGCAGUUUUACCCAGGUUCGGGCCCUCUCGAUGGAGGUAAAGCCCUAUUUCCUGCUUGAUUAAUAUUGAUGAUAUGGGUAGUACAAGAGUAGAUCUACCACGAGAUCGAAUAGGCUAAACCCUAGAAGCUAGCCUAUGGUAUGAUUGUUGAUAUGUAUGUUGUCNNNNNNNNNNNNNNNNNNNNNNNNNNNNNNNNNNNNNNNNNNNNNNNNNNNNNNNNNNNNNNNNNNNNNNNNNNNNNNNNNNNNNNNNNNNNNNNNNNNNGACGGAGCGGUGCGGCGGGGCGGCGCAGCGCGGCGGCGACGAAGGCGGCGGCGGCACUAGGGCGGUGGGGCUGGGGCGCUAGGGUAUGGGAGGUCCUGGGCUGGGCUCCCCGGCUUAUAAAGCCUGGACGGGCCUAGUGUCCGGGUCAGACACGGCCCGUAGGUCAGCUGCGUUUUUUUAAUAAAUAGUUACACUCAGAAAAAAGGACAAAUGGAAUACUAAACGGACUCCAAAAAUUCCGAAAUAAAUUUUCCCCGACUUCUAAAAUCAAGCCGCACAAGAUGAACAUUUAUUUGGGGCCUAAAUGCAAUUUUGAAAAACGUGCAUUUUUCCUAAAUUCAAAUAAAACCAAAAUAAAUAUUAUUUGAUUUUUUAUUAAAUCCUCAAUAUUUCUUUAUUUUGGGAAAGUCAUUUUAUUCCCUCUCUCAUAUUUUUUUGUAAUAGAAAUAAUUAAAGAUAAAAUAAAUAAAAUCAAAAGAUCCUAUUUUCAAAAUUUGAAACAACUCAAAUAUGAAAAUAACGAAAUUCCCAACUCUCUCCAAGGGUCCUUGAGUUUGGAAAAAUUUCUAGGAUCAACCAAAAUGCAAUAAAUAUGAUAUGCAAUGAUGAUCUACUGUAUAACAUUCCAAAUUAAAAAUUUGAGAUGUUACAGGGAAAGGAUGUAAAAACCAUAAAAUAAUAAUAAUAAUAAAUAAAUAAAUAAAUUAGAUAACGAUAAUUUCAACAGCGUUGCCUAAACAUUAAUUAAAAUAAUAGAAACAACUACUUUUAAUAUAUUUUUACAGGAAAUAGCAUUUAGUCAUACACAACAAUUCUUCUACAAACCUCCCUAUAUUUUAUAGACCCUUGUCUCAUUUCUCUCACACAAAGUAAAUGCCAACUAAUGGUCAGCCAAGUAAAUUCACACUUGUCCCUAAUACAGCCCACAAGAGACACAAGUGGAGGCAUGCAUGCAAGAGUAACCACGCAUGCAUGCCAGAUGUAAUGCGUCUCCAAACCGACAUAGCUGUUCACCCCACUUUAAAUAGGAGUCAUCCCUUUCACUGUGGCCACACACAAUCAUCCGCUAGAGAAACCCCUCUGCCUUUUCACCUUGCCUUUUCACUUUCUGCCACACUACUAUCCUCCACUGCUGUGAAGCUCUUUGGGUUGCAUGCGCCACCAGGUACUUAUCAAGUACCUUGUUGUGUUAGCCCUUCUUGCUUGACUUCUUAUCUAUCUCCACCUCGGUUUGAAUCAGUCCAUGAGCAUCUAUUCACCUUGAUCUAUUUAGCUUGCAGUAAAAAGAACAAAAUGUUUGCGUAAACACCCAAGUUAGUCAAAACUAAUUAGAUCAAUUGCAAAAGCUUGUAAAAGUUUCUAUGAAUGACAUCCGUGGCUUGUACUAGAUCUAACAUGCCAAGAAUCAAAUCCUAAUACUAGCAACUUGCUAAGACAUGUAUGUGUGUAUCCAAAAGAUCAACCUACCUGUGUAUACUACCUUGUCCUAAUUAUUAAUCCCUGCCAAUCUGUAGCAAACAUUGAGUGAUUGAUGUUUAUAAACUACUCGCAAGUAAUUAUUUUUGGAAUUUCACUGCCACUGUUUACUUCUAUAUGGUGUUCAAGGAUGAGUAGCACAAGUUAGGAAUAGCAUUUAGAUCUAAUCAGUAGCAAUACCAUGACCACACGAUAGAUUAAAUCUUGAUUAAUUUCAUGGCCUUGAGAUAAACAAAGCAAAAGAAGGCAACAUGGCUGAGAGGGGAAUAGUAGGGCCUGAGAUAAAAUGAACAAUAUAUGCACACCCACGUUCAUAUAUAGCAGGAACUUGUUGUGAAAUUUGGAGCACUUCAUGGAGAAGGAAUCAGGAUUAGUACUUACCAGUAGUAGCAGUAGGAUGUGGCUAGUCCACACCGUUAGCAGCAAAGCCAUGGCAACCGAGCAGCGCCGGUGAAGCCGCACGCGCCCGACGCUCGUGGCUGCACGCCUUGUGUGUGUGGCUGCGCUGGGGGGAGGAUGUAGGCAUGGAUACGUCGUUGCCGCUGCAGCCGGUGGCAAGCCCACCAGACCUGGAUCGAGCGGCGCUAGGAUUGAGUGGUGGCGGCGUUUUUGGUGGUGGCCGAUCAAAUAAAUAGGGGGAAAUGGUAGAGGGAGACGAGGGGAAUCUAUAGGUGUCCGCCGUGUCGCCGGAGAUGCCCGUACGGGGCAGAUCUAGGCGACGGCGGCCGUGCUCUGUUCUUGGGGGAGAGAGAGAGGUGAGCGGGCUGGUUCUGUUCGUGGGACAUCAGAGAAGUUGAGUAGUCUUUCUG